Molecule: ribosomal RNA, 585 nt
Filed under: Pedobacter sp. StRD770
Lineage: Bacteria; Pseudomonadati; Bacteroidota; Sphingobacteriia; Sphingobacteriales; Sphingobacteriaceae
Description: bacterial SSU rRNA
Rfam family: Bacterial small subunit ribosomal RNA
Source: RNAcentral
ACGGGUGCCUAACGCGUAUGCAACCUACCUCAAUCUUGGGGAUAUCUAGAAGAAUUUACGAUUAACACCGCAUAAAAACACAGUAAAGUACUGCACAAUGUUCAAAUAUUUAUAGGAUUGAGAUGGGCAUGCGUGUCAUUAGCUAGUUGGCGGGGUAACGGCCCACCAAGGCGACUAUUACGACGGGAUCGGAUAGGACGACCCCCCACACUGGUACUGAAACCAGGACUCAAACUCUAACGGGAGGCAGCAGUAAGGAAUAUUGGUCAAUGGAGGCAACUCUGAACCAGCCAUGCCGCGUGCAGGAAGACAGCCCUCUGGGUCGUAAACUGCUUUUAUUCGGGAAUAAACCUACUUACGUGUAAGUAGCUGAAUGUACCGAAGGAAUAAGGAUCGGCUAACUCCGUGCCAGCAGCCGCGGUAAUACGGAGGAUCCAAGCGUUAUCCGGAUUUAUUGGGUUUAAAGGGUGCGUAGGCGGCUUAUUAAGUCAGGGGUGAAAGACGGUGGCUCAACCAUCGCAGUGCCCUUGAUACUGAUGAGCUUGAAUGAACUAGAGGUAGGCGGAAUGUGACAAGUAGCGGUGA